Molecule: ribosomal RNA, 301 nt
Filed under: uncultured bacterium
Lineage: Bacteria
Description: partial 16S ribosomal RNA
Rfam family: Bacterial small subunit ribosomal RNA
Source: RNAcentral
CAGUCGCCACGGUAAAACGUAGGUGGCAAGCGUUGUCCGGAAUUAUUGGGCGUAAAGGGCUCGCAGGCGGUUUCUUAAGUCUGAUGUGAAGGCCCCCGGCUCAACCGGGGAGGGUCAUUGGAAACUGGGAAACUUGAGUGCAGAAGAGGAGAGUGGAAUUCCACGUGUAGCGGUGAAAUGCGUAGAGAUGUGGAGGAACACCAGUGGCGAAGGCGACUCUCUGGUCUGUAACUGACGCUGAGGAGCGAAAGCGUGGGGAGCGAACAGGAUUAGAUACCCCAGUAGUCCCUGUCUCUUAUAC